Molecule: long non-coding RNA, 1363 nt
Filed under: Citrus x clementina
Lineage: Eukaryota; Viridiplantae; Streptophyta; Magnoliopsida; Sapindales; Rutaceae
Description: Citrus clementina (C. clementina) long non-coding RNA (CCLE_LNC003457)
Source: RNAcentral
AUGUCAAUAAUAUCCUUCAAUAAUAUUGAUGGAAGGAUAUUAAUGUAGAAGGAAAGAAAAAGUAAGAUUAAAAAUGUCACUUAAUUUUAUUAAAGGAGUAUUUUGAAAUAUUUUUUAAAAUAUAAAAAUAAAUCAAUACUUAAAUUAAAAUAGAAAGAAUAAAGGAGCAAUUUAACUGUUGUUGACAGUAAAAUUCACGCAAGGGUUGGGCUUUGGCCGCUUGGCGUGCUACAAGAACGUGAAACCCCCAACACGGACUGUAUGUAGGUAAAUGCCACGGCUCCAUGGCUCCAUGUCCACAAUGUCAUCAUCACAUUUAUUUGGUAGCUUAGUGUAAAUGCUAACUAUAUGUUACAUCAAUUAAAUUGAGCAAUAAUAUGUAUAUGCGGAUGACCGAUUGAAUUCACAUGAAGAUCCUUCUCAAAUCAAUAUCAUUCAUGCACAUACGACAGAAAUCAAUAUCGUAAUUUGUCAUGCAAAUGUGGAAAUGAUCAAGACCAUCAUGACAUAUAUAAAAGAUAAUUAUGAAGAUUGUCACGUGGUGAAAUUCUAUAAUAUAUCAGAGGUACCACUUCAACUGUAUAAUAAAUAAAUAAUAUUAUGUCAUGUGUUUAUUUAUUUUAAAAAAUUAACUAUAAGUGAUAGUUAUAUUAAAUUCAACUAACUACACAUGUCAUACACAUAUAAUAAUCCAUUGUGUCAUAUGUGAUGUAUCAUAGACUUUUGAUGUCGUGUGAUGUAAAUACGACAAGAAUUAGGUAUAUCAUGACAUGCCAAUUAGCAAAAAUCCCUACCAUAUAUAUCAUAUAGGAAAGAAUCAUUAUCGUUACGUGCAUAUUAAAUCUGAAAAUGAAUCCAAAAUAUGGAAUUAAGUUUUGUCCGUCGUGUAAAUAGCACUUGAAUAAGAUCUGGCGAGCUUAUAUUUUCUAUAUAAUUCUAAAUUCAUGGGCUAUAAUCAAUACUAGGCGCGCAUUUUUGGACCUUCACGCUAGUGCUGCCAUUAGAGGUUGAAUUUAUCGUGGAAAAGUUAAGUCCUGCUUUCAUUUAGUUUAGUUUAUUUAUUUGAUUUCCCAAUAAAACCGAAAACUCCUUUAUUGAAUAUGAAAAAAAAAGGAUAUAUUUACGAGAAGAGAAAUGACAAUCAGCUUCAAGGCUGAGAGACUGAUUAAAAUUUUUCUUACGAGAAUGGUAAAAAAAUUAGUUCAAUUUAAAAUAAUAAUAAUAAUCCAACUUUUUUCUUCUUACUUGUUUUGGGAGAUUGACGCUUCCCCUAGAUUAUUUAAUACUAUAUACCCUGUAGAAUUUUCAUAAUACUCUUAUUAAUUUUAGAUCCAUAUAUUUAGAUCGCGUCAUUCAAAAAUUG